CUAAAUUAUCAUACAAUCAGAUUAAGUUGGUGGAACUAAAACAGGGCGCAUUACCUCAAACAGCCAGCAUUUACAAGAACCAAAUUGAUUUUUUUUUCUUACAAAAGUCAGGCAACUUCCAAAUUAAGUCACUUUUUACCAUAUACCCUGGAGAAUAACAUGGCCCGACACACCACACGUCCCACUUAUCUAGUUCAAGCGAGUAACAUAACGUGAGAAACUGCACUGUGUAAUUCCUUUAUUUUCUGCAUAUUAGUGCUUUACCAACACUACAACCAUAAAGAACACAAUUCCAAGUACUGUACUUUUUAGUUUGGGGAGAUCACAGUCUACAGACUCAUUUACUUAUAUUAAACAAGAUUAACCUCAUUCAAAACUUACUGCAGUUUAUAAAUUCACAUAAAUACAGAAAUGGAUGCAAUUAAACAACUUCAGGAUCUUAUUUUUAAAAUUCUUAGAUAAUUUUUUCUGCAGGCUAUAAUUACCUGCUCCAGUCACCAAUGGUUAUUGUUCAAUUUAACUACAUCAAUUAUAAACCUCUUAUAUCCUUAAAGAAAAUUUUAAGUGAAAAUUACAAUUUCUUACCAAAAGGUUUAGGGUUUUCCAAAUUUCAAAUAUUUGCUUCCCCCUCCCCCCUUUCCAGUCAAACAUUUCAAAUAAACUAAAAAUAACCACAUCUCACCUGCAACAUUCAAUAAUAGCAAUCACUUGAUGUAUAAAAUUUUAACUAUGCCCCCAGUUAUUUUAAGACACAAAAAAAUGGCUGCCUACCAAUCUGUCUUCACAAGUUAGAAAUACUACAUUUAAGAUUUAACAUGAGGGUUUCAAGUUUCCUCCAGUUUAGGCAUUUAUACCUUUGUGCUUGUUUUGUUUCAGGAUGUUACUAUAGCAUUGAUAUUGGAUAACCCAUAUUUAUAUACUUUAAAAUGCAAUCAUUUGAAACACUAAAAAUUACAUUUAUGGUGGAGCUUUGGAAAUUUUAGAAAGCAACCAGUGUUCUUAGAUGUGUUUAUCAGCCUCAUUUCUAGAGCUCUUUCUACUAAAGUGAAACUGAGAACUUCGUACUUUAGUUGUAUCCUGAAAUCAAAAAAAUCCCUCUGCACCAACAGGAGCCUACAUGAGAAUACCCUUUUGCAUCUGCUUUAAGUAAAAUGUUUGUUAAGAGUUUUACUUUGAAUAGUUCAUUUUUUUAUAGUCUUACACUUCUCAUACAUCUUUGGUAAAAGCUCCAUUAUACAAUAUGGCCAAAGUGUGAAGGACCAAUACUGUCCAACUAUACCAUGAUAUCCCGCUCAAUUUUAGUUUUCAGACACCCUCAUAAACAAAACCCACUCCACCUUUUCCUGUAUACUGCCUUUGCAGUCUACAUUUCUGAAAUUCCCUAUUUAAUUCCUUGAGGAUCACUAAAAUUAAUCCUUAAGGCUAUAUAGGAACCAGAUGCUGCUUUACAAUUCUGCAUCAAGCAUUAACAUUUGGUUCAAAAUAUUAUCAUAGUGGUCGCAAUCCAGUUACUGGUCCUAACCAGCUAACCAAGUAAUCUUGUUAGGAUCUGGAUAUCACCAGCGAGCACACUGCUUACACAUGAAGAAAAAUAAGUUUACAGCAAGUGAUAAGGAAACUGGGCAAAAAAGGAAAAAAGCAUACAUAGGAAAAUGAAAGAUUCUCUCGAAAUAAAA
RNAcentral lists this long non-coding RNA (1676 nucleotides) under Homo sapiens (human). RNAcentral's name for it is "HSALNT0210662". Lineage: Eukaryota; Metazoa; Chordata; Mammalia; Primates; Hominidae. The record is from RNAcentral.